ACCGCUAGAGUUUGAUCAUGGCUCAGAUUGAACGCUGGCGGCAGGCCUAACACAUGCAAGUCGAGCGGUAACACAAGGGAGCUUGCUCCUGAGGUGACGAGCGGCGGACGGGUGAGUAAUGCCUAGGUAUCUGCCCAGUCGAGGGGGAUAACAGUUGGAAACGACUGCUAAUACCGCAUACGCCCUACGGGGGAAAGGAGGGGACCUUCGGGCCUUUCGCGAUUGGAUGAACCUAGGUGGGAUUAGCUAGUAGGUGGGGUAAUGGCUCACCUAGGCGACGAUCCCUAGCUGGUCUGAGAGGAUGAUCAGCCACACUGGAACUGAGACACGGUCCAGACUCCUACGGGAGGCAGCAGUGGGGAAUAUUGCACAAUGGGCGAAAGCCUGAUGCAGCCAUGCCGCGUGUAUGAAGAAGGCCUUCGGGUUGUAAAGUACUUUCAGCGAGGAGGAAAGCUCAAUUGUUAAUAGCAGUUGGGUGUGACGUUACUCGCAGAAGAAGCACCGGCUAACUUCGUGCCAGCAGCCGCGGUAAUACGAGGGGUGCAAGCGUUAAUCGGAAUUACUGGGCGUAAAGCGUACGCAGGCGGUUUGUUAAGCGAGAUGUGAAAGCCCCGGGCUCAACCUGGGAACUGCAUUUCGAACUGGCAAACUAGAGUCUUGUAGAGGGGGGUAGAAUUUCAGGUGUAGCGGUGAAAUGCGUAGAGAUCUGAAGGAAUACCGGUGGCGAAGGCGGCCCCCUGGACAAAGACUGACGCUCAGUACGAAAGCGUGGGACAAAACAGGAUAGUCCACGCCGUAAACGAUGUCUACUCGGAAUUUGGUGUCUUGAACACUGGGUUCUCAAGCUAACGCAUUAAGUAGACCGCCUGGGGAGUACGGCCGCAAGGUUAAAACUCAAAUGAAUUGACGGGGGCCCGCACAAGCGGUGGAGCAUGUGGUUUAAUUCGAUGCAACGCGAAGAACCUUACCUACUCUUGACAUCCAGAGAAUUCGCUAGAGAUAGCUUAGUGCCUUCGGGAACUCUGAG
RNAcentral lists this ribosomal RNA (1027 nucleotides) under Shewanella sp. ANG.231. Its description in RNAcentral is "bacterial SSU rRNA". It matches the Rfam family "Bacterial small subunit ribosomal RNA", at positions 1 to 1033 of the family's 1533-position model. Lineage: Bacteria; Pseudomonadati; Pseudomonadota; Gammaproteobacteria; Alteromonadales; Shewanellaceae. The record is from RNAcentral.